Molecule: long non-coding RNA, 638 nt
Filed under: Pan troglodytes (chimpanzee)
Lineage: Eukaryota; Metazoa; Chordata; Mammalia; Primates; Hominidae
Description: lincRNA
Source: RNAcentral
GGGCCUGGUCUCAAGACACAGUCAGUUGGGGAUCAGCGGCCACACUCAUCGUAGCAGAGAGGCAAGAACAGCUGGGAGAGGGUCCUUCUGUGACACCUAUUGCAUCACUGGGCUCUGUGAAGUGACUCAGCUGCCAGAACUCACACAAUAUCAUUCUGCACCAAAACCUCAAGGGAAAAAUGCAUCACGAACCUCAGACUUAAACAGCACAACAGGCUCCUCCCAGGUCUCCAGCUACACAGCCCUCAGACUAAACAGCAGCAGCAGCACCAGCUCCUCCCUGGGUCUCCAGCUCCACAAACCUCAAAUUAGAACAGCAGCACUGGCUCCACCCAGUCUCCAGCUCCACACCUCAAACUUGAACUACAGCACCAGCUCCUUCCUGGGUCUCCGGCUCCACGGACCUUAAACUAAAACAGCAGCACUGGCUCCUCCCCAGGUCCCCAGCUACAGACCCUCAAACUAGAAGAGCAGCACCAGUUCCACCUAGUCUCCAGCUCCACACCUCAAACUAGAACUUCAGCACCUGCUCCUCCCCGAGUCUCAAUAUCUGUGACCCUCAAAAUAAAACAGCAGGACCAGCUCCUCCUCUGGUCUUCAGCUUCACGACCUUAACUAUAACAGCACCACCCGGUCCU